This 69-nucleotide transfer RNA is filed under the name Rattus norvegicus (Norway rat). It matches the Rfam family "tRNA". From Rfam's summary of the family: Transfer RNA (tRNA) molecules are approximately 80 nucleotides in length. Lineage: Eukaryota; Metazoa; Chordata; Mammalia; Rodentia; Muridae. The record is from Rfam by way of RNAcentral.
GGGGAUUUGGCUCAGUGGUAGAGCACUUGCCUAGCAAGCGCAAGGCCCUGGGUUCGAUCCCCAGCUCCA